UAAUGUUUAUUUUAAAUAAAUUCACAAGUGGAUAUUAAUGGUAAAGGUUUUACAUAAUUAAAUGUUUGUUUUCAACAUGGAAAAUAUUUUAUUGUAAAGUAAAUGUAAAAUGGCAGUGACUUUUGACAGCCAUGUCAAAUUUUAGUUUUGGUACACUGCUAAAAAUAAAUAAGGUUAAAAAUUGUAAAACCAUAUAUUUGUUUUUAUUAUUCAUUUCUUUUUUGAGAAUAUGUUUAUUCUCGGAGUAAGUUUUAAAUAAACAUUAUAAAAUGUACACAUCUUUAUUUCUGUAACCUCUUUUUUAAAAAAAUUAUUAACAGAUAUCUAAUACAAGUGAAUAAGUUUUAGAACAGAAGAAAAUAUAAUGGCAUAGAAGCCAAUAAUGAUAAAUAAGUAGCCCACUAUAACCCCAACGAGGAAUCUACGAUGAAUGUCCCCCAGUUGCUUUCCAGUAAGUACUCGAUAUGAGAAUUUGAGGAUUUUUCGAACGGCGUCCCAAUUUGUUUAAAUAGUAGGAAAGUCCUCAAGUCUGUGUAAGUAUCCUUUGCUUAUUUGGUUAUGUAGUUAGUCUUCUUUAAACCCUCCUACCCCUCCCAACGAAUCUACGACCCGCCACCGCACAAAAAAAAUGAGCUGCCGUUCGCAUGAAGGUUUGCGUGUCUGUUCCUUCUACUAGCCCCAUUUCUACCCCACAGUAUCUCUAUAGAUAGUCUUUCCUUGUCCCCAUAGAGCAGACAUGUAAAACGCUUCAAAUUGCGCCCAACGUGUGGGGCUUAAAAACGCUUCAAAUGUCGCCCAACGUGUGGGGCCGAUUCAUUUUUCUGCCUCCUUCAGUAUCCAGUUUUGUAAUGAUUUGGAUUUGAAUAUCUUCCCCUCCCAGCCCCGUCUGAAUGGAAAAUUUUGAAGUUCCAAGUGUUGUGACAUGGAUUUUUGUUUUAAGUAAGAAAUGCCCGGAUGAUAUUAUUUGGUAUCGAUUUUAUCCAGUUUAGUAAUGAUUUGAAUAUCUUCCCUCCCUCCAAUCUCGAAUGGAAAGUUUUGAAGUUCCAAGUGUUGUGACAUGGAUUUUUGUUUUAAGGUAUGAUAAUGUUUAUUUUAAAUAAAUUCACAAGUGGAUAUUAAUGGUAAAGGUUUUACAUAAUUAAAUGUUUGUUUUCAACAUGGAAAAUAUUUUAUUGUAAAGUAAAUGUAAAAUGGCAGUGACUUUUGACAGCCAUGUCAAAUUUUAGUUUUGGUACACUGCUAAAAAUAAAUAAGGUUAAAAAUUGUAAAACCAUAUAUUUGUUUUUAUUAUUCAUUUCUUUUUUGAGAAUAUGUUUAUUCUCGGAGUAAGUUUUAAAUAAACAUUAUAAAAUGUACACAUCUUUAUUUCUGUAACCUCUUUUUUAAAAAAAUUAUUAACAGAUAUCUAAUACAAGUGAAUAAGUUUUAGAACAGAAGAAAAUAUAAUGGCAUAGAAGCCAAUAAUGAUAAAUAAGUAGCCCACUAUAACCCCAACGAGGAAUCUACGAUGAAUGUCCCCCAGUUGCUUUCCAGUAAGUACUCGAUAUGAGAAUUUGAGGAUUUUUCGAACGGCGUCCCAAUUUGUUUAAAUAGUAGGAAAGUCCUCAAGUCUGUGUAAGUAUCCUUUGCUUAUUUGGUUAUGUAGUUAGUCUUCUUUAAACCCUCCUACCCCUCCCAACGAAUCUACGACCCGCCACCGCACAAAAAAAAUGAGCUGCCGUUCGCAUGAAGGUUUGCGUGUCUGUUCCUUCUACUAGCCCCAUUUCUACCCCACAGUAUCUCUAUAGAUAGUCUUUCCUUGUCCCCAUAGAGCAGACAUGUAAAACGCUUCAAAGGUUGGAAUAAAUUCAUUUUAUGAUAAUGGGCGAUUUUGGAAAAAAUUCCCAAACAGGUCGAUUUUCAUUUUUAAAUUAUGAUUUUUUGGCAUAUAUAUCAUGCUACUGACGUCAUCCACCUGGGCGUGAUGCCGUCAUUGAUAAUUUUUUUAAUAAGAAUAGUGGUCGUAUUCUAUAGUUGAUUUUUUAACCAAGAGGAGUAAACUAAAAUGACGGAUUCACACCCAAGAACGUUAACGUUACUAGAAAUGUCACCAAAUUCAUCUUCUUUUUUCGUUGAUCAUUUCAGCUUUCGAUGAUAAUCCAUAUACAGUCGAACCCGCUUUUUGGAAUAGCCUUCGUGCCAAGCAAAAGUAUUCGUAUAACCGGGAUAUUCUAAUAACCGAUCAUUGGAAGCUAGUAGAAACGUUUCGUGGCCUCAAAUUUCUAUUCCUUAAAGCGGGAUAUUCCUAUAAGAGGUAUUCUAAUAAGCGGGUUUGACUGUUUUUAUGUAAAAGUAGACUAAAAAUCUAAUAUAAAGAAAUAAUGCAGAAAACACAAAAAAUCGUCGAUAUACUUAAGAGGGAACAGUAGCGAUCAACAGGUAGCAAAAACGCGUUCCAAGAUUGCGGCUGUAAUUUUGAAUAUUUUUUCGAGAUAUUUGGCACACGUAUUCGUAAUAUAAUAAAGAAUGGCGGUACAGAGCCCAAUUUUAAAAAUAUAUUAAUAUGUGGAAAUUCCCUCACAACACACAACAUUCCAGGAAUGUACUACCAAAGUUCUAUCAAUAUUUGAAUGUCCUGGACAUUUAGGGAACAUUCGGUGAACAUCUGUUUAAAUUAUUCCUGGAAUGUUACCAUAAGACAUUCUGUGAACAUACUACCAAUGUUCCUAUAUUUUAAGUUGCGAAAUAAUACAUACGUGUAACAGAUACAACAUUACUUAUAACAUACCAGACAAACUAAGUGACACUUUAGGCCUACAGUGCAAUAAUAUGUCAAAUUUAAAGAGUUUCCCAAGUUCAAUUAAUACAAUAUUAUAAACAUACAAAUGUAAUAAAAAUUAUUGUUCGCGAAUAUUCAAUUUGGAAUGCGAUUUUGUUAAUAAAAAAAAUACUUAUAACUUAUGCAAAACCCAAGAGAGGCAUUUAUAUUUAUUUCUUUUGCGUUCAUUUUCAAAUUCGCCGUGCAUAUAUUUUUGUGCAUGGCGCUUGAGAGGGCAUCACGUGACUAAAAACGACCAACCAACGACCUCGCUUCGGCCAUCUUGGCAUCUUCAUCUUGGCCACCUUGCUUUGCCGUGGGUGGAUCGUUGUUUCUAUUAUUUGUGCUUUUUAAGAAUAUUUUUUUAAUUCGGAUACUUUUAUAAUAGCUUUAAUAGUAUUAUUAACAUAGUGAAAAAAAUGUUGUCCUGUUUUUAACGCAGUUGGAGUAGCAGAAACAAAUGUAGAUAAAAAAAUCUGCAGGAAUAACGUUUCAAUUAUGACAGAAGCUCCAAACAAAUGACUGUGAAUGAAAAGCCCUAUUAAAAGCUUUCCAGAAGAUCCUGCGAAGAAGACAUGAAGUAUAGAUCAGAUUUGUUAAUAGAGGAGUAUGUUCAAAACACUUUUUAGAAAAAGAUAUUGACAGAACUUCACUUUCAUCUGUUCGUUUAAGAGACUGUGCUGUUCCAAUAGCUUAUGUCACACAGAAUCAGCUGAGAGAAGUGGUCUACAAAAAACCAGAAAGGAAACAGAAUAUGUGGCUACGAAAAGCAAAAGAAAGGUUUACAAAGCAAAUGUGACACAUUUUUUUAUAAUAUUUAGGAAUGUCAGUAAAUUACAUUAAAAAAUGUAUGUAAAGAUUUUUUGCAAUAAAAAUGUUUAUAUUUA
This is a long non-coding RNA of Diabrotica virgifera virgifera (western corn rootworm), 3684 nucleotides long. RefSeq lists it as uncharacterized. Lineage: Eukaryota; Metazoa; Arthropoda; Insecta; Coleoptera; Chrysomelidae. The record is from RefSeq and is a predicted model, not a curated record. The transcript has 4 exons.